GAUGAAGAAGGUAGCGAAAUGCGAUAAGUAGUGUGAAUUGCAGAAUUCAGUGAAUCAUCGAAUCUUUGAACGCACAUUGCGCCCCUUGGUAUUCCAUGGGGCAUGCCUGUUCGAGCGUCAUUUGUACCCUCAAGCUUUGCUUGGUGUUGGGCGUCUUGUCGUAUUACGACUCGCCUUAAAUACAUUGGCAGCCGGCACUUUGGCCUAGGAGCGCAGCACAUUUUGCGAUCGUAGCCCGUUGUACUGGCGUCCAUCAAGAACAUUUACCACGUUUGACCUCGGAUCAGGUAGGGAUACCCGCUGAACUUAAGCAUAUCAAUAAGCGGAGGA
Molecule: unclassified non-coding RNA, 330 nt
Filed under: soil metagenome
Description: partial contains 5.8S ribosomal RNA, internal transcribed spacer 2, and large subunit ribosomal RNA
Rfam family: 5.8S ribosomal RNA (bases 1-120)
Source: RNAcentral